AUGGCUGGCACAGGACCCCCGGGGCACGGCAGGUGCCCGUUGCCCGCUCCGCCAGCGGCUGCAUUCCCCAAAAGCACACCAUCCCAUCGUGUCUGCUGCCUCCUGACCCCCGGCCCUUAUCUCAUCCCACAUCACCUUCCUGCGUUUCCUGGCCUCUCCCUGCCCCGGGCCAUCCCUGGGUCUCCGGAGCGAGCCGUGGCCACGCCCGAGCUGGCGCGGGUUACCAGCAGCCGCGGGGCUGGGACCGCUCGCCGCCGGGCCCGGGCUUCGCGCUCGUCCUGGCCGCUGGGGCCUCGGAGAGCGGCGGCAGGAGCGAGGCAUCACCCGAGCGCUGACAGGCGCCUCUCCGCCUUCCCCGCCCGGCGCAUUCGCCUUGCCACGUGCAGAACCCGGCAGGCGCGGACCGCCAGCGCCCUCGCGGUUGCCGUGGCUACGCACGAGCGGCCGCAGCUGACCCAGGCGGGGCCUCCCUCCGCCGCCUCCGCCUCGGGCUCCGUCCCCGCUCGGUUAGGGAACCCCAAGCCCCCGGCCCCUACAAGCUGUGCACACCUGCAGCAGACCCGUUUCUGCAAAGCUUCCUGCAGCAGGCAAGGCUGGUCAUCAUCAUCACCAUCAUCAUCACCAGCAGCAGCAGCAACACCUGCAUUUGCAUCUGAACCUGAAGAAGUCAGACUGUUGCAGGGAGUAGAGAAGGGAAGUGGGAAAAGCUCUGCAAACGGUGCUGGGACAGGGAAGAAGAGGAGUUCCAGGCACAUGAGCUGGGAGUGCCAAAGAACAGACACACAGCUGGCACUGAAGGGAGGAGCCAGCUAACAUCUAAGACCAACAGCCCUUCAAACGGCCCUUCAGACUGUGCUGUGGAAGCCAGGGCAGCACCUCCAGACCAUUUAUCCCCACUUCCAAGUUCUGCAAGACAAGUUGUUGUGAUCGUCAAGUUCUGGAAGACUAACUGUCAUGGUAUGUAAGCUCUGGAAGGUUAUUUGUUGUGGCAUGUGAGCUCAUGAUCGAAAGUUGUUUGCAAAUCUCAUUAUAUCAUCCACCAGAACAACCACUGGUACUGGAACACUUGGUUGACGCACAUCUGGAGUGCCCUGUUUUUCAAAACACUGAGGACAUUUGUGAAAACUUCUACUGAAGGAUGGGUGUGUAGGUGUGGUGGUACUGUGGGAAGGAAAAGCUUGACACCCAUGUUUGGGGAGGGUGGGGCAGUGUCCUACAUGUGGACCGUGAUACAAACACCAUUAAGUAGCAAAUCUGGUGCAACUCUGUUUUUGUGGCAGGCAUAAUAACAGCACCCCUACAGCAGGAGCAAGCUUCUCGCGUUCUCUCUUAUUGUUUUAUCACUUGUGUCAGAAGGGUCCUGGAUUGUCAUGAGAAAGUUAGGUCUGUACUGGAAUACUGAUGGGAGGAGAACCUGCGAGCUAAGAUUGCAUAGGGUGAAGGUUGGCGGCUUCCUCAAAACCAGCUAGUAAAGCAUGCUUUCAAAAUAAAGUCUAUGGAAACAAACA
Molecule: long non-coding RNA, 1508 nt
Filed under: Oryctolagus cuniculus (rabbit)
Lineage: Eukaryota; Metazoa; Chordata; Mammalia; Lagomorpha; Leporidae
Description: lncRNA (ENSOCUG00000036635.1)
Source: RNAcentral